GAUGAACGCUAGCGGGAGGCUUAACACAUGCAAGUCGAGGGGCAUCACGGGUAGCAAUACCUGGUGGCGACCGGCAGACGGGUGAGUAACGCGUAUGUAACCUACCCUGUACAGGGGGAUAACCCGGAGAAAUUCGGACUAAUAUCCCAUAAUGAUAUCUGGGGGCAUCUUCGGAUAUUUAAAGUUCCGGCGGUACAGGAUGGGCAUGCGUAACAUUAGCUAGUUGGUAAGGUAACGGCUUACCAAGGCUUUGAUGUUUAGGGGUCCUGAGAGGGUGGUCCCCCACACUGGUACUGAGACACGGACCAGACUCCUACGGGAGGCAGCAGUGAGGAAUAUUGGUCAAUGGGCGCAAGCCUGAACCAGCCAUCCCGCGUGCAGGAAGACGGCCCUAUGGGUUGUAAACUGCUUUUCCAGGGAGAGAAACUUGCGUACGCGUUGCGCAAUUGACGGUACCCUGGGAAUAAGCAUCGGCUAACUCCGUGCCAGCAGCCGCGGUAAAAAUAGCGUACU
RNAcentral lists this ribosomal RNA (513 nucleotides) under uncultured bacterium. Its description in RNAcentral is "bacterial SSU rRNA". It matches the Rfam family "Bacterial small subunit ribosomal RNA", at positions 28 to 536 of the family's 1533-position model. The record is from RNAcentral.